GAUGAAGAACGUAGCGAAAUGCGAUAAGUAGUGUGAAUUGCAGAAUUCAGUGAAUCAUCGAAUCUUUGAACGCACAUUGCGCCCCUUGGUAUUCCAUGGGGCAUGCCUGUUCGAGCGUCAUUUGUACCUUCAAGCUUUGCUUGGUGUUGGGUGUUUGUCUCGCCUUUGCGUGUAGACUCGCCUUAAAAUAAUUGGCAGCCGGCGUAUUGAUUUCGGAGCGCAGUACAUCUCGCGCUUUGCACUCAUAACGACAGCGUCCAAAAGUACAUUUUACACUCUUGACCUCGGAUCAGGUAGGGAUACCCGCUGAACUUAAGCAUAUCAAUAAGUGGAGGA
RNAcentral lists this unclassified non-coding RNA (336 nucleotides) under soil metagenome. RNAcentral's name for it is "partial contains 5.8S ribosomal RNA, internal transcribed spacer 2, and large subunit ribosomal RNA". The stretch from base 1 to 120 matches the Rfam family "5.8S ribosomal RNA", at positions 35 to 154 of the family's 154-position model. The record is from RNAcentral.